AAUGGUGGCUGUAAGUAAAAAACUAAGGUUGUCUCGCAAGGGUAUAAAGAACAAAUUUAAAAUUAUUAUAGAUAUUUGAAGUUUAAAUUGGCUGCAAUGAUGGGAGAUUUUAGAGGAUUGUAUAAAAUCAAGAGAGUUAGUCAAAUGGGAAAUCAAAGGUAUAUAAAAACAAGGUUGGCGGAAAGUAUCAAAAUUAAUAAUAAGAAUUUCUUCAAAUACAUUAAGGAUAAGCAGGAUGUUAGGACCUUCAGUGGUUAAUGGCUAAUAUCUGAUGAUUAUGGGAUGGCUGGGUUAUUAAAUGUUGCUUUUUCUUCAAUUAUUGGUAAUGAAGAUUUAAGCAAUAUCCCUCAUCUUCAACUGUUGAAGAUAGAGUGAAACAAGACUGAAGAAGAAGAUCACAUUAAUUCUGAGCUUGUUAAGAAAAACUGGGAAGUUCAAAGAAUUAUAAGUCUUCUGGAUCAGAUAAUAUUUAAUCAAAGGUUUUGAAAGAAGUUAAGGAUUGGACAUGUGCUGAAUCAUUCUGGUGGAACAUGAUCCUUUCAGGUUUUUACUGUGUGAAGAUGUACAUUAAGUACUGGAUCAUUCUGGUAGAACAUGAUCCUUUCAUGUUUUAACUGUGUGAAGAUGUACAUUAAGUACUGGAUCAUUCUAGUAGAACAUGAUACUUUCAGGUUUUAACUGUGUGAAGAUGUACAUUAAGUACUGGAUCAUUCUAGUAGAACAUGAUACUUUCAGGUUUUAACUGUGUGAAGAUGUACAUUAAGUGCUGGGCCAGACUGACUGACUAGUCUGAGUGCUAGGUGCUUUUCAUGUUAAGAUUAAAACUACUUUUAUUAUCUUCUAAAUUAACACCCAAUUUUUUCUUUAAAACAUAUUUUGUCUGUUAUUUUUUCUACCCUUUACCGUUUACAGAAUCGGUCCUUUUGACCUACCUUGUAAACACCAUAAAAAAUACGAAAUAAAUCUAAAUGAUCAUUCUUUUUCUUUGUAGCAUACUACUGGUUUUAAGAGACAAUUAAAAUUAUUUAUCCUAAAAUGUUCAAUCUUCUAUUCUUUUCACAUCUAUUUUAUUUUAUUUCUCCGUGAAUCAUGUUUCGGUACUAAUUCUUCCUACAAAAAACAAAUUGCGCGUCAACUGCGCAACUCACAUUACGUAGUCCACGAGCAUCUCGCGUGAAGACGUCACUCAGAAUUUUUAUUUGUGUAUUUAAUUUCUAAUUUAUUACUUAACAUAAAUUUCUAAUUUUUACAAUUUAGUUACUUUUAUAGCAAUAAAUAAAUAUAUAUAAAAAAAAGAAAUUGAGUACUUUUGUCAAGCCUCUUGUUCUUCACUGCGUCCCGCACACUUCCGCUGAUGGAAGCUUUACGAAGAGGAUUAAUUAUAAUGGUCUAGUCAGAAAAGAGAAAGACUUUAUUUUAUUGUAAUUAACCAACGUAAAAAACGAAGUUGUGUUAACACUAACAGUGCUACAGUUAAACUGUUGACAGCUAUUCUCUAUGGAAAAGAUGAUGUUUGUUUUCAUCAAGAGUCGUAUGAUGACAUAUUCUGAAGGUUCUUAGAAACAUGGAAGUCAUAAUAGAUGUUUUCACUAGUUUUAUGGUGACAGGAAAAAAAGUGAAUAUAUCUUAAAGUUUCUGUUGAUUUUCUACAGAUUGAGGAGAGAGGACUUGUUAUUUGUCUAGAUAUAGGAAUGUCUAAAAAUGGGAGUGAAUUGUUUGUUUCCCAAUCCACUUUAUCCUCUAGAAAAAGACUUUAAAAUCAUUUCUGUUAUUUGGCCAAACAAAAAAUAUGUCAUCAACGUAUGGGAACCAAGGGAUUUUCUUUGAAUUCAGAUCCACUAUUGGAAUUAAUUCACGUUCAAAAUACUCCAUGACGAUGUAACAUAAAACGGGUUUCCUAUAGCCAUUCCGUAUUUCUGUCUGUGAUAUUGUCUCAUACAUGUAAAUACAUUAUCAUCAACACCUACUUCCACAAGGAAGAUGAAAGUGUGAACCGGUACAGGAAGUGGAAUGUUAAGAUUAUUUUAAGAAAGAUUAAUGUUUAUAUUUGUAAACAAAGAAUCAACAUUGACUGUUUUAUCUUCAUUUAUGUUAGACUUUAUUGUCCAAAUCUAUGUUAUUUAGAAUGUGUGAUGUUGAGAACUUGUAUAGAGCAGGAGAUAGGUGUUGUGUCAGCCACUUGGAUAAGUACCUGAUCCUAUUUGGA
Limulus polyphemus (Atlantic horseshoe crab) is the source of this 2206-nucleotide long non-coding RNA. RefSeq lists it as uncharacterized. The transcript has 4 exons. Lineage: Eukaryota; Metazoa; Arthropoda; Merostomata; Xiphosura; Limulidae. The record is from RefSeq and is a predicted model, not a curated record.